GCACGCGUAGCCUAAAGGAAAAAGCAAUGGCUUCCGAAGCCAGAGAUUGAGGGUUCGAAUCCCUCCGCGUGCUCCA
This 76-nucleotide transfer RNA is filed under the name Peptoniphilus sp. ING2-D1G. Its description in RNAcentral is "tRNA-Arg (CCG) (tRNA-Arg-CCG-1-1)". It matches the Rfam family "tRNA". Rfam says of the family: Transfer RNA (tRNA) molecules are approximately 80 nucleotides in length. Their secondary structure includes four short double-helical elements and three loops (D, anti-codon, and T loops). The record is from RNAcentral. Lineage: Bacteria; Bacillati; Bacillota; Tissierellia; Tissierellales; Peptoniphilaceae.